RNAcentral lists this ribosomal RNA (403 nucleotides) under bacterium. RNAcentral's name for it is "partial 16S ribosomal RNA". It matches the Rfam family "Bacterial small subunit ribosomal RNA", at positions 355 to 776 of the family's 1533-position model. RNAcentral also lists the same sequence under 2 other names. The record is from RNAcentral.
UGGGGAAUAUUGCACAAUGGAGGGAACUCUGAUGCAGCGACGCCGCGUGAACGAAGAGGGCUUUCGAGUCGUAAAGUUCUUUUAUAUGGGAAGAUAAUGACGGUACCAUAAGAAAAAGCCCCGGCUAACUACGUGCCAGCAGCCGCGGUAAUACGUAGGGGGCUAGCGUUGUCCGGAAUCACUGGGCGUAAAGGGUUCGCAGGCGGAAAUGCAAGUCAGGUGUAAAAGGCAGUAGCUUAACUACUGUAAGCAUUUGAAACUGCAUAUCUUGAGAAGAGUAGAGGUAAGUGGAAUUUUUAGUGUAGCGGUGAAAUGCGUAGAUAUUAAAAAGAAUACCGGUGGCGAAGGCGACUUACUGGGCUCAUUCUGACGCUGAGGAACGAAAGCGUGGGUAGCAAACAGG